This 606-nucleotide ribosomal RNA is filed under the name Alcaligenes sp. UASWS0936. RNAcentral describes it as "bacterial SSU rRNA". It matches the Rfam family "Bacterial small subunit ribosomal RNA", at positions 72 to 673 of the family's 1533-position model. Lineage: Bacteria; Pseudomonadati; Pseudomonadota; Betaproteobacteria; Burkholderiales; Alcaligenaceae. The record is from RNAcentral.
GCGGGUUUUCGGACCUGGCGGCGAGUGGCGAACGGGUGAGUAAUAUAUCGGAACGUGCCUAGUAGCGGGGGAUAACUACGCGAAAGCGUGGCUAAUACCGCAUACGCCCUACGGGGGAAAGGGGGGGAUCGCAAGACCUCUCACUAUUAGAGCGGCCGAUAUCAGAUUAGCUAGUUGGUGAGGUAAAGGCUCACCAAGGCCGCGAUCUGUAGCUGGUUUGAGAGGACGACCAGCCACACUGGGACUGAGACACGGCCCAGACUCCUACGGGAGGCAGCAGUGGGGAAUUUUGGACAAUGGGGGAAACCCUGAUCCAGCCAUCCCGCGUGUGCGAUGAAGGCCUUCGGGUUGUAAAGCACUUUUGGCAGGGAAGAAACGGCGCUGACUAAUAUUCAGCGUCACUGACGGUACCUGCAGAAUAAGCACCGGCUAACUACGUGCCAGCAGCCGCGGUAAUACGUAGGGUGCAAGCGUUAAUCGGAAUUACUGGGCGUAAAGCGUGCGCAGGCGGUUUGGCAAGAAAGAUGUGAAAUCCCACAGCUUAACUUUGGAACUGCAUUUUUAACUGCCAAGCUAGAGUAUGUCAGAGGGGGGUAGAAUUCCACG